Cucumis melo (muskmelon) is the source of this 432-nucleotide long non-coding RNA. RefSeq lists it as uncharacterized. The transcript has 3 exons. Lineage: Eukaryota; Viridiplantae; Streptophyta; Magnoliopsida; Cucurbitales; Cucurbitaceae. The record is from RefSeq and is a predicted model, not a curated record.
UAUACUUUCAUUAGGCUUUUCGACUUGGUAUGGUGCUUCUUGUUUUGAAUGCUUCUUAGAUAUUGUCAUUUAUCUUGUUUGUUAAUUUUCAGAUUCUUUUCUUGGGUUUGUAGGCUACUUUGGCUGAUUCCUUUCUAGCAUAUCUUGAUGAACUCUCUAAUGUAAACAAGUUUCAGGUUUCUAAAGGCUUUUUACUUCUCCGUGUAAAUGAAGUAAUAACUAUGUUGGUUGUUAUUAAGUGAGUGGUCCAGGGGCUUUAUAAAAUAGCUGGAAGCAAACUCAAUGGCUUGAUUGUUGGGGCUUGGGGAUGUCUUUGAGAGAAAAAGAACAAAUGAGAUGCAGAAGAUGGGUUACAAGCGUUCAGCAAAGAAGUGCAAAGAAAAAUGGGAAAAUAUGAACAAAUAUUUCAAAAGGACCAUUGUAACUGGGAAG